UAGGGAAUAUUCCACAAUGGACGAAAGUCUGAUGGAGCGACGCCGCGUGAGGGAUGAAGGCCUUCGGGUUGUAAACCUCUUUCGACAGGGACUAAAUGCAUUGCAGUGAAUAAUUGCAGUGUUUGACGGUACCUAGGGAAGAAGCUACGGCUAACUCUGUGCCAGCAGCCGCGGUAAUACAGAGGUAGCAAGCGUUGUCCGGAUUUACUGGGCGUAAAGGGAUUGUAGGUGGCUAUUUAAGUCAGGUGUGAAAUCGUCCCGCUUAACGGGACAAUUGCAUUUGAUACUGAUUGGCUUGAGUGCAGGAGGGGAAACUGGAAUUUCCGGUGUAGCGGUGAAAUGCGUAGAUAUCGGAAAGAACACCGGUGGCGAAGGCGGGUUUCUGGCCUGCAACUGACACUGAGGAUCGAAAGCCAGGGGAGCAAACGGG
Molecule: ribosomal RNA, 430 nt
Filed under: uncultured bacterium
Lineage: Bacteria
Description: bacterial SSU rRNA
Rfam family: Bacterial small subunit ribosomal RNA
Source: RNAcentral